GUGCCAGCCGCUGCGGUAAUACGGAGGGUGCAAGCGUUAAUCGGAAUUACUGGGCGUAAAGCGCACGCAGGCGGUCUGACAAGUCGGAUGUGAAAUCCCCGGGCUCAACCCGGGAACUGCAUUCGAAACUGUCAGGCUGGAGUCUUGUAGAGGGGGGUAGAAUUCCAGGUGUAGCGGUGAAAUGCGUAGAGAUCUGGAGGAAUACCGGUGGCGGAGGCGGCCCCCUGGACAAAGACUGACGCUCAGGUGCGAAAGCGUGGGGAGCAAACAGGAUUAGAUACCCUGGUAGUCCACGCUGUAAACGAUGUCGACUUGGAGGUCGUGCCCAUGAGGCGUGGCUUCCGGAGCUAACGCGUUAAAUCGACCGCCUGGGGAGUACGGCCGCAAGGUUAAAACUCAAAUGAAUUGACGGGGCCCGCACAAGCGGUGGAGCAUGUGGUUUAAUUCGAUGCAACGCGAAGAACCUUACCUGGUCUUGACAUCCACAGAAGUUUCCAGAGAUGGAAUGUGCCUUAGGGAACUGUGAGACAGGU
RNAcentral lists this ribosomal RNA (533 nucleotides) under uncultured Xenorhabdus sp. Its description in RNAcentral is "bacterial SSU rRNA". It matches the Rfam family "Bacterial small subunit ribosomal RNA", at positions 505 to 1039 of the family's 1533-position model. The record is from RNAcentral. Lineage: Bacteria; Pseudomonadati; Pseudomonadota; Gammaproteobacteria; Enterobacterales; Morganellaceae.